AUUGAACGCUGGCGGCAGGCUUAACACAUGCAAGUCGAGCGGGGUGAUGGUGCUUGCACUAUCACUUAGCGGCGGACGGGUGAGUAAUGCUUAGGAAUCUGCCUAUUAGUGGGGGACAACAUCUCGAAAGGGAUGCUAAUACCGCAUACGUCCUACGGGAGAAAGCAGGGGAUCACUUGUGACCUUGCGCUAAUAGAUGAGCCUAAGUCGGAUUAGCUAGUUGGUGGGGUAAAGGCCUACCAAGGCGACGAUCUGUAGCGGGUCUGAGAGGAUGAUCCGCCAAGCUGGGACUGAGAAACGGCCAAGAGUCCUACGGGAGGCAGCAGUGGGGAAUAUUGGACAAUGGGGGGAACCCUGAUCCAGCCAUGCCGCGUGUGUGAAGAAGGCCUUAUGGUUGUAAAGCACUUUAAGCGAGGAGGAGGCUCUUUUGGUUAAUACCCAAGAUGAGUGGACGUUACUCGCAGAAUAAGCACCGGCUAACUCUGUGCCAGCAGCCGCGGUAA
This 503-nucleotide ribosomal RNA is filed under the name uncultured bacterium. RNAcentral's name for it is "partial 16S ribosomal RNA". It matches the Rfam family "Bacterial small subunit ribosomal RNA", at positions 30 to 523 of the family's 1533-position model. The record is from RNAcentral.